GGUGUAAUGGCUGAAUUAGGCGAUAAAUUGUAAAUUUAUUUAUGAAGGUUACUUCUUACACCA
Molecule: transfer RNA, 63 nt
Filed under: Othius laeviusculus
Lineage: Eukaryota; Metazoa; Arthropoda; Insecta; Coleoptera; Staphylinidae
Description: tRNA-Tyr
Rfam family: tRNA
About the family: Transfer RNA (tRNA) molecules are approximately 80 nucleotides in length. Their secondary structure includes four short double-helical elements and three loops (D, anti-codon, and T loops).
Source: RNAcentral